CACGCCGUAAACGAUGAGUGCUAGGUGUUGGGGGUAUUGACCCCCCCAGUACCGCAGCUAACGCGUUAAGCACUCCGCCUGGGGAGUACGGCCGCAAGGCUAAAACUCAAAGGAAUUGACGGGGGCCCGCACAAGCGGUGGAGUAUGUGGUUUAAUUCGACGCAACGCGCAAAACCUUACCUGGGUUAAAUCCACAAGAACCUUCCAGAGAUGGAGGGGUGCCUUCGGGAGCUUGUGAGAAGGUGC
This 246-nucleotide ribosomal RNA is filed under the name uncultured bacterium. RNAcentral's name for it is "partial 16S ribosomal RNA". It matches the Rfam family "Bacterial small subunit ribosomal RNA", at positions 796 to 1041 of the family's 1533-position model. The record is from RNAcentral.